Molecule: ribosomal RNA, 321 nt
Filed under: uncultured Pseudomonadota bacterium
Lineage: Bacteria; Pseudomonadati; Pseudomonadota
Description: bacterial SSU rRNA
Rfam family: Bacterial small subunit ribosomal RNA
Source: RNAcentral
AUUGAACGCUGGCGGCAUGCCUUACACAUGCAAGUCGAACGGUAACAGGGAGCUUGCUCCGCUGACGAGUGGCGAACGGGUGAGUAAUGCGUCGGAACGUACCGAGUAAUGGGGGAUAACGCAGCGAAAGUUGUGCUAAUACCGCAUACGCCCUGAGGGGGAAAGUGGGGGAUCGCAAGACCUCACGUUAUUCGAGCGGCCGACGUCUGAUUAGCUAGUUGGUGGGGUAAUGGCUCACCAAGGCGACGAUCAGUAGCGGGUCUGAGAGGAUGAUCCGCCACACUGGGACUGAGACACGGCCCAGACUCCUACGGGUGGCUG